GUGCUCACUUCAGCUGCACAUAUACUAAAAUUGGAACAAUACCGAGACGAUUAGCAUGGCCUCUGUGCAAGGAUGACAUGCAAAUUGGUGAAGUGUUACAUAUUGAA
Small nuclear RNA from Ochotona curzoniae (black-lipped pika), 107 nucleotides. The record is from RefSeq and is a predicted model, not a curated record. Lineage: Eukaryota; Metazoa; Chordata; Mammalia; Lagomorpha; Ochotonidae.